This 886-nucleotide long non-coding RNA is filed under the name Salmo salar (Atlantic salmon). Its description in RNAcentral is "lncRNA (ENSSSAG00000087990.1)". Lineage: Eukaryota; Metazoa; Chordata; Actinopteri; Salmoniformes; Salmonidae. The record is from RNAcentral.
GCCCCUCUCUCUAUAGGCCCCUCACUCUAUAGGCUCCUCUCUCUAUAGGCUCCUCUCUCUAUAUGCCCUCUCUAACUAUAGGACCCUUCUCUCUACAGGCUCCUCCCUCUCUGGUCUCUCGCUCUGAACUCUAUCAAAGGCAGUGAUUCUUCUGACAGUGAUUGAUCUGAAUUACAGCCAAUCGCAGAAACAUCAAGCCAAAUUGUCAAUUUGAUCACUCCAAAUGUUUGUAAAAUAAGCCCCCUUUAAUGGGAGGUUACAUGUCUGGUGUUGAAACAGGAACAUAAAAAGAGGAGAGGGAAUGGAGAGGGGAAUAAAGGAGGGGAAGGAGCUGAAAGAAAAGCGUGGUGACUGGAGGUCUCCAUUUGGCAUGGUGGUUCAGUCAGUGACAGGGGAAGAGGCUACUGGCAGGCAGGGCUAGUCCUUUAGGAAGGAGAGGAGACAGGCAGGGCUAGUCCUUUAGGGGGGAGAGGAGACAGGCAGGGCUAGUCCUUUAGGGGGGAGAGGAGACAGGCAGGGCUAGUCCUUUAGGAAGGAGAGGAGACAGGCAGGGCUAGUCCUUUAGGAAGGAGAGGAGACAGGCAGGGCUAGUCCUUUAGGGGGGAGAGGAGACAGGCAGGGCUAGUCCUUUAGGGGGGAGAGGAGACAGGCAGGGCUAGUCCUUUAGGGGGGAGAGGAGACAGGCAGGGCUAGUCCUUUAGGAAGGAGAAGAGACAGGCAGGGCUAGUCCUUUAGGGGGGAGAGGAGACAGGCAGGGCUAGUCCUUUAGGAAGGAGAGGAGACGAUAAAAGGAAGCCGGGGCUGUUCCUUUGUGCCUGAAUCAAUCGAUACUCCUGAGCGCACUCUUUUAAACACUAUCCAUGUGCUGCAGGGGUGCUGCUGGGGC